This 1799-nucleotide ribosomal RNA is filed under the name Sterreria variabilis. Its description in RNAcentral is "eukaryotic LSU rRNA". It matches the Rfam family "Eukaryotic large subunit ribosomal RNA", at positions 254 to 1814 of the family's 3401-position model. The record is from RNAcentral. Lineage: Eukaryota; Metazoa; Xenacoelomorpha; Nemertodermatida; Nemertodermatidae.
CGUUCGGAGAGUCGGGUUGCUUGGGAGUGCAGCCCAAAGUGGGUGGUAAACUCCAUCUAAGGCUGAAUACCGGGGCGAGACCGAUAGCGGACAAGUACCGUGAGGGAAAGUUGAAAAGGACUUUGAAAAGAGAGUUCAACAGUACGUGAAACCGCAAAGAGGCAAACGGGGUGGUCCUCAACGGCCGUCGGAAGGUGCGCUGCGGUCGGUCCGCCGGGCCUCCGGGAUUCGUCCCGGGGGUUCGGAGGUGCCGGCCGCUGCGCGUCCCUUCCGCGGCGGAACGGCGGCCGGUGACCGGGCCGGCGUGUUCCGCGCUGCGAGAUCUCGCUUCGGCGGGGUCUGCGUGCGGUCCACACCGGGCUCGGUGACCGAGGUUGCGACGGCGCCUGCCCCUCGGGGCGGCCGCCCUCCGUUACUCGUCGGCACGCUGCGUCCACUGUCCUCGGUAGGCGUGGUCGUGUCGGUGGGUCUCGGGGGUGUCGGUCCUAGGCGUCGCGGGCCGGCCGGGUCAAGGAGGUAGCCGUCCCGACCCGUCUUGAAACACGGACCAAGGAGUCUAACACGCGCGCGAGUCGGAGGGUGUCAAACCCCGUGGCGCAGCGAAAGCAAAGGCGGCCUCGUGCCGCUCGGGUGGGAUCCGGUCGCCUCGGCGGCCGGCGCACCAUCGUCCUCUCGUCGCUCGCGGCGAGGGAGCGAGAGCGUGUGUGUUGGUACCCGAAAGAUGGUGAACUAUGCCUGGACAGGGUGAAGCCAGGGGAAACCCUGGUGGAGGCCCGUAGCGAUUCUGACGUGCAAAUCGAUCGUCUGAGCUGGGUAUAGGGGCGAAAGACUAAUCGAACCAUCUAGUAGCUGGUUCCCUCCGAAGUUUCCCUCAGGAUAGCUGGCGCUCGAGAGUUAGUUUCAUCGGGUAAAGCGAAUGAUUAGAGGUCUCGGGGUCGAAACGACCUCGACCUAUUCUCAAACUAUAAAUCGGGUGAGAACCCGUGCCCUCUUGAUUGGGGCGCGGGCCUCGAAUGCAGAGUGCCUAGUGGGCCAUUUUUGGUAAGCAGAACUGGCGAUGCGGGAUGAACCGAAAACCGGACUGCGGCGCCCUAUGCCGGGACGCUCAUCGGAUCUACGGGAAAGGUGUUGGUUGAUAAAGACAGCAGGACGGUGGCCAUGGAAGUCGGAAUCCGCUAAGGAGUGUGUAACAACUCACCUGCCGAAUCAACCAGCCCUGAAAAUGGAUGGCGCUGGAGCGUCGAAAGCCUACGUCCGGUGGCCGGGGAAAGGGCGAAUUCCCCGGCCAGUAGGAGGGCCGCGGCGGGGAGCGCCGAAGCUCGGGCGCGGGCCCGAGUGGAGCCCCCGCCGGUGCAGAUCUUGGUGGUAGUAGCAAAUAUUCAAAUGAAAGCUUUGAAGGCUGAAGUGGAGAAGGGUUCCAUGUGAACAGCAGUUGGACAUGGGUGAGUCGAUCCUAAGGCGCAGGAGGAAUCCGGGAAAGCGCGCCCUCGCAGGCGCCGAGUGCCGAAAGGGAAUGGGGUCAAUAUUCCCCGACCUGGACACGGAUGUUGCUCGCGAAUCAAAGCCUCGGGCGUUCCGGCUCGUCUUCGCGGCUUGUCGGUCGUCCGCGGCGGUCGCGGGUAGUAGCGGUGACGCAAACGAACCCGGCGACGUUGUCGAGAGCCCUGGGAAGAGUUCUCUUUUCUCUUUUAGGGUACGUUCUCCCUGGAAUCGGUUCGGCCGGAGAUAGGGAAGGCGGUGCCCGUAGAGCACGGCAGUUCUUGUCGUGUCCGGUGCGUUCUCGACGGCCCUGAAAAGCC